ACCGAGCUCGUCUGGAUCCACCAUGGCCUGGGCCCCUCUGCUCCUCACGCUGCUCACAUAUUGCUCAGGUUCGCUCGCCCAGUACGUGCUGACCCAGCCGCCUGCAGUGUCUGUGUCUCCAGGGCAAAAUGCUCAACUCACCUGCACAGGUGAAAAGAUUGAUGAAAGGUAUGUGAGCUGGUACCAGCAGAAACCUGGCCGUGCCCCCGUACUCGUCAUAUACAAGGACAGUGAGAGACCCUCCGGAAUCCCCGAUCGAUUCUCCGGGGCCAGCUCCGGUAACCCGGCCACGUUAACCAUCACUGGAGUCCAGGCGCAGGACGAGGCUGAUUAUUACUGUGAGCGGUGGGACAGUGACAGCAGCUCUGCUCACAGUGACACAGUCAGGCGGGGAAAUGUUGGGGAAGGUGCGUUUGCCACACGCUCAGAGGCAGGGGCUGUCAGCGCGCCCAGCACUAGACCCCUCCGCCUCGAGCCCACGAACACUCACCGUCUGCUGAAUAACAAAGGACGCAGUGCGAGGGCUGCCAGAAAUAAACGGGGCAUCGCACUUGGCACGACGGCUUAA
Caretta caretta (loggerhead turtle) is the source of this 568-nucleotide non-coding RNA. Lineage: Eukaryota; Metazoa; Chordata; Testudines; Cheloniidae. The record is from the annotation of a RefSeq genome assembly.